ACUACUCCAAACCCAUUGUGAACCUUACCUAUGUUCUGUUGCCUCGGCGGCGUGGUCAGCGCCCCCUCUGAAAAGAGGACGAUGCCCUCCCGCCGGCAGCACCAAACUCUUUGAAUUUUACAGCGGAUUACAGUUCUGAUUUGAAAACAAAAAACAAGUUAAAACUUUCAACAACGGAUCUCUUGGUUCUGGCAUCGAUGAAGAACGCAGCGAAAUGCGAUAAGUAAUGUGAAUUGCAGAAUUCAGUGAAUCAUCGAAUCUUUGAACGCACAUUGCGCCCGGCAGUAAUCUGCCGGGCAUGCCUGUCCGAGCGUCAUUUCAACCCUCGAACCUCCGUUUCCUCAGGGAAGCUCAGGGUCGGUGUUGGGGCGCUACGGCGAGUCUUCGCGACCCUCCGUAGGCCCUGAAAUACAGUGGCGGUCCCGCCGCGGUUGCCUUCUGCGUAGUAAGUCUCUUUUGCAAGCUCGCAUUGGGUCCCGGCGGAGGCCUGCCGUCAAACCACCUAUAACUCCAGAUGGUUUGACCUCGGAUCAGGUAGGGUUACCCGCUGAACUUAAGCAUAUCAUAA
This 568-nucleotide ribosomal RNA is filed under the name fungal sp. AM2013. RNAcentral's name for it is "eukaryotic LSU rRNA". The stretch from base 163 to 316 matches the Rfam family "5.8S ribosomal RNA". Lineage: Eukaryota; Fungi. The record is from RNAcentral.